ACUUACGGCCACACCACUGUGACAACGUCCGAUCCUGUCUGAUCUCGGACGCUAACCGUGGUCGGGCCCGGUUAGUACUUGGAUGGGAGACCCCCUGGGAAUACCUGGUGCUGUAGGGG
RNAcentral lists this ribosomal RNA (119 nucleotides) under Stegastes partitus (bicolor damselfish). Lineage: Eukaryota; Metazoa; Chordata; Actinopteri; Pomacentridae. The record is from RNAcentral.